CCUACGGGGGACAGCAGUGAGGAAUAUUGGUCAAUGGGCGCGAGCCUGAACCAGCCAAGUAGCGUGAAGGAUGACUGCCCUACGGGUUGUACACUUCUUUUAUAAAGGAAUAAAGUGAGGCACGUGUGCCUUUUUGUAUGUACUUUAUGAAUAAGGAUCGGCUAACUCCGUGCCAGCAGCAGCGGUAAUACGGAGGAUCCGAGCGUUAUCCGGAUUUAUUGGGUUUAAAGGGAGCGUAGAUGGGUUGUUAAGUCAGUUGUGAAAGUUUGCGGCUCAACCGUAAAAUUGCAAUUGAUACUGGCAGUCUUGAGUACAGUAGAGGUAGGCGGAACUCGAGGUGUAGCGGUGAAAUGCGUAGAUAUCAGGAAGAACACCGGUUGCGAAGGCAGCUUACUAGACUGCCACUGACAUUGAGGUUCGAAAGUGUGGGUAGCAAACAGGAUUAGAUACCCGGGUAGUC
Molecule: ribosomal RNA, 460 nt
Filed under: uncultured bacterium
Lineage: Bacteria
Description: partial 16S ribosomal RNA
Rfam family: Bacterial small subunit ribosomal RNA
Source: RNAcentral